This 496-nucleotide ribosomal RNA is filed under the name uncultured bacterium. Its description in RNAcentral is "partial 16S ribosomal RNA". It matches the Rfam family "Bacterial small subunit ribosomal RNA", at positions 28 to 506 of the family's 1533-position model. The record is from RNAcentral.
GAUGAACGCUGGCGGCGUGCCUAAUACAUGCAAGUCGAGCGAACAGAUAAGGAGCUUGCUCCUUUGACGUUAGCGGCGGACGGGUGAGUAACACGUGGGUAACCUACCUAUAAGACUGGGAUAACUUCGGGAAACCGGAGCUAAUACCGGAUAACAUUUGGAACCGCAUGGUUCUAAAGUGAAAGAUGGUUUUGCUAUCACUUAUAGAUGGACCCGCGCCGUAUUAGCUAGUUGGUAAGGUAACGGCUUACCAAGGCAACGAUACGUAGCCGACCUGAGAGGGUGAUCGGCCACACUGGAACUGAGACACGGUCCAGACUCCUACGGGAGGCAGCAGUAGGGAAUCUUCCGCAAUGGGCGAAAGCCUGACGGAGCAACGCCGCGUGAGUGAUGAAGGGUUUCGGCUCGUAAAACGCUGUUAUUAGGGAAGAACAAACGUGUAAGUAACUGUGCACGUCUGGACGGUACCUAAUCAGAAAGCCACGGCUAACUACGU